AUUGUGUAUACAUGUUAAAAUAAACGUUAUAGACGUAUUAGUUGGAUUAAUGCUUGAUUUAUGUUUUUAAAGGUUGUUUUUUGAUAGGCCUGUUUCACAAAAUGGCGACCGGAAGUAGAGUAGGUCAAGCCGCCGCCCGCUGAUUGGAUCGCCGCCAUUCAUUCUCAUUCCUUCUCGCAACGUCAUCAGCUGACAAACAGUCUCUCGCUUGUUAUCACUGCUUACAGGUAAGUUUAGUCAACAAAAUCACACAAAUAAUAGAUUCAAACGUUCCCGACACCCUUCUUACGUGUAAUUAAUACGCUUCUGCUGAAUAUUUACUUUAUAGAAAUGGUUUUGUGUCUUCGAAAAAGUCUGUUAGCAUGAUCCGUUUUCAGAAGAGAUUCUAGAAGAUCAUCAUGCUUGCUGAUGGCCUGCUGCACUCCCUGAACAAGACAAUCUCCACGGCUAUGAACUCGACUAGUGUGUUUUUAAUUAUGUUGGCCAAUGAGACAGGCACCAUACUGUCCAACGCAAAGAUAGGAUAUAGGCAUUUGACCCUGUGAUUCUUCAGGACAAGAUCUUGAUGCCAUCCAUACUCGGUACAUGACGAAGCUCCCGCGUCCAUUUGGGCUGAAGGUCGAGACAGAACCAAACCAAAGCUGGACUGUAACCUACUGGCCACAGGACAGACUUGUUUACAUUUUGAUGAUCUCCUUCUGUCUACAUGAAGUUCUAUUGCUGAAUUCCCUAUUAUUUGUUGUUGGAAACGAUGCAAGUCCCGUUCAUUGUUCUCGUAAAUGUUAGGAUAUACAUUUAUGCCAUUUCCUGAGUGUUGAGUUGCGUUGACUUGACUGGAGUGGUUUUAACAUGCACUGGAUGGAGAUCUCUCUCCUCUUUUUAGCACCUUAGUCACUGAUUGUGUCCCUCCUAACUGUAAAGCCGUGUUAUUCGUUUCUUUUAGUCUCUUCUGCUGUCGUCGUGCUCUUUCUCUUACGUGCAUCUCUUAGCUCGGUUAAUUUCCUGUGCUCAUUUCUUCACUCACUCAAACCCGUUUGCUGCUGAUGUUUGGAACUUCACUGCAGUUGUUGCUGAAUGAAGGAAAAGAUGGAUUCUGGUGGAGAGGAGGCAUCUGGAGUUUGACCGAAUGGGGUGAGCCGAGUGGGCCCCCCCUUCAUCUUCGGCUCAAUGCCCUCCUGAAGGCACAGUUCCCUGGUAUAUGAGCAGAACGAACAUACUUGAAGAGCUAGAAAUGCUCAAAGACUCUCAGUGCUUCUGUACUGUUUCUUAUAGUGACGAUGAAAUAGUCCUUUUUUUUUUCUUUUCUUUUUUUUUUAAAUGAAAUUAAUAAACAUGCUGUUUUACAAUUGCAAUGUGGCGUAAUUGAAUAUUUGUGCUUCUAUACAGCUGUAAUGCACCCAGAGUACAGAAAUGUGCUUUCACUUUUC
This is a non-coding RNA of Pimephales promelas (fathead minnow), 1427 nucleotides long. The record is from RefSeq and is a predicted model, not a curated record. Lineage: Eukaryota; Metazoa; Chordata; Actinopteri; Cypriniformes; Leuciscidae.